GUAAGGAAUAUUGCUCAAUGGGAGAAAUCCUGAAGCAGCAACGCCGCGUGGAGGAUGAAGGGUCUAUGACUUGUAAACUCCUGUAAAGAAGGAAAAAAUUCCCAUUAGAUGGGAGAUGAUGGUACUUCUGGAGUAAGCCCCGGCUAACUACGUGCCAGCAGCCGCGGUAAUACGUAGGGGGCAAGCGUUGUCCGGAUUUACUGGGUGUAAAGGGUGCUCAGGCGGAUUUGUAAGUCAGAGGUGAAAUCUUACAGCUUAACUGUGAAACUGCCUUUGAUACUGCAAGCCUAGAGUAUGGAAGAGAGUGAUGGAAUAUCUGGUGUAGCAGUGAAAUGCGUAGAUAUCAGAUAGAACACCAAUGGCGAAGGCAGUCACUUGGUCCAUUACUGACGCUAAAGCACGAAAGCGUGGGUAGCAAACA
This 421-nucleotide ribosomal RNA is filed under the name uncultured bacterium. RNAcentral's name for it is "bacterial SSU rRNA". It matches the Rfam family "Bacterial small subunit ribosomal RNA", at positions 354 to 774 of the family's 1533-position model. The record is from RNAcentral.